Molecule: ribosomal RNA, 240 nt
Filed under: Triticum aestivum (bread wheat)
Lineage: Eukaryota; Viridiplantae; Streptophyta; Magnoliopsida; Poales; Poaceae
Description: partial small subunit ribosomal RNA
Source: RNAcentral
AUGUGGGCGCUCCGGUGGUGGCGACAACUGCGCCAGAGCCAACACGCCAUCCCUCAGCCCGCUUUGCUUGAUGCCAGACUCGCCGUCCGCGUCGGAGAGGCAGCUGCGGGUGCAGGCCUAGAAGGCGCGGGCGAAGAACAGCUUCACCAAGAGGCUGCCCACAUUGAGGCACAAGUUGGAGGGGAAGCAAGCGAGAGUCGAGGCGGAACCAGCGGGCAGUCUAGGUGGCGUGAUAGGUAG